Molecule: long non-coding RNA, 864 nt
Organism: Cebus imitator (Panamanian white-faced capuchin)
Lineage: Eukaryota; Metazoa; Chordata; Mammalia; Primates; Cebidae
Exons: 3
Source: RefSeq, a predicted model, not a curated record
UAAGUGUAAUGAGCCUUUUCGGCAGCCUUGUGCUUUAACAACAAAACGCUGCUGUUUGGCAGCGAGGUCCGCAUAUGUUUAAGGGAGCGGGGUAACAGCCUAGAACCCCUCUCUCUUUGUAACCUGGCUUUAUAGUUUUAUCAUUAUUUAAAGCCUCCCUUUCAGCGAUUUUUUAACAACCAAAAUAUAUGCUGGCUAAUGUCAUCUGGAAACUGAAAGUCGAUGUUCAGCAACUCUCACUCACCAAUCCUACAACUUGGUGCUGUUUGUUUAAUUUGAGUCCAGUGUCUAAGAAUAAGUAAUGAACUCAUCUUGGGGACCAGCCAGAGCCUACAACUUUGAGACGACCCGUAAAUCCCUUUCCCUUUCCUUCUGGUUCUGGAAGGGAUUCUGUAGUUCAAAGAACGUCACAUGGAAAAUGAUGCAAAAGCUUCUCGGCUUCUGACUUUCUCCAAGCUCUAUCUAACAUUCGCCUCCUAGGAGUUCUGCUUAGAUCCUGACGCAGCUGAUGGCUUCUCGCCUUUCUCUCCCUCUUUUUCUACACUCUCCACUCCACUGGGCUGGAAGAGAUCAGCCUUAAAAGCAGGAGGGAGGUGACUGAGAGAAUAAAGCCAGCACACAGAUCAGAGAACAUGUAUCAGCAGAUAUUUGAAAACCUUACCUGUAACCCCACCUGCCAAGUUCUUGGGAGGGUUAAAUGCAAAAAUGUUUAUAUGUGCAGUCUGUACAAAUGGGGAAAGACCAAAAGAAUAGAAAGAACAUAGGUUCCAGAAUCAAAUUGCUUGGAUUCACAUUCUACCUUCAUCAGAUAGAAGCAAUUCAUGUAAACUCUCCGAACCUCAGUUUGCUCCACUGUAAAAUGGG